GACGAACGCUGGCGGCGUGCUUAACACAUGCAAGUCGUACGGUAAGGCCCUUUCGGGGGUACACGAGUGGCGAACGGGUGAGUAACACGUGAGUAACCUGCCCACAACUUUGGGAUAACGCUAGGAAACUGGUGCUAAUACUGGAUAUGUGCCCCUGCUGCAUGGUGGGGGUUGGAAAGCUCCGGCGGUUGUGGAUGGACUCGCGGCCUAUCAGCUUGUUGGUGGGGUAGUGGCCUACCAAGGCGGCGACGGGUAGCCGGCCUGAGAGGGUGACCGGCCACAUUGGGACUGAGAUACGGCCCAGACUCCUACGGGAGGCAGCAGUGGGGAAUAUUGCACAAUGGGCGCAAGCCUGAUGCAGCAACGCCGCGUGCGGGAUGACGGCCUUCGGGUUGUAAACCGCUUUCAGCAGGGACGAAGCUUUUUGUGACGGUACCUGCAGAAGAAGCACCGGCUAACUACG
RNAcentral lists this ribosomal RNA (463 nucleotides) under uncultured bacterium. RNAcentral's name for it is "partial 16S ribosomal RNA". It matches the Rfam family "Bacterial small subunit ribosomal RNA", at positions 28 to 505 of the family's 1533-position model. The record is from RNAcentral.